CCUACGGGGGGCAGCAGUGAGGAAUAUUGGUCAAUGGACGAAAGUCUGAACCAGCGAAGUAGCGUGAAUGAUGAAUGCCCUAUGGGUGGUAAACUUCUUUUAUAAAGGAAUAAAACGAGGCAAGUGUGCCUAUUUGCAUGUACUUUAUGAAUAAGGAUCGGCUAACUCCUUGCCAGCAGCCGCGGUAAUACGGAGGAUCCGAGCGUUAUCCGGAUUUAUUGGGUGUAAUGGGAGCGUAGAUGGCUUGUUAAGUCAGUUGUGAAAGUUUGCGGCUCAACCGUAAGAUUGCAAUUGAUACUGGCAGUCUUGAGUACAGUUGAGGUAGGCGGAAUUCGUGGUGUAGCGGUGAAAUGCUUAGAUAUUAGGAAGAACCCCGAUUGCGAAGGCAGCUUACUAAACUGUGACUGACAUUGAUGCUCGAAAGUGUGGGUAUCAAACAGGAUUAGAUACCCUAGUAGUC
RNAcentral lists this ribosomal RNA (460 nucleotides) under uncultured bacterium. RNAcentral's name for it is "partial 16S ribosomal RNA". It matches the Rfam family "Bacterial small subunit ribosomal RNA", at positions 338 to 795 of the family's 1533-position model. The record is from RNAcentral.